Molecule: ribosomal RNA, 64 nt
Filed under: Ailuropoda melanoleuca (giant panda)
Lineage: Eukaryota; Metazoa; Chordata; Mammalia; Carnivora; Ursidae
Description: similar to 28S ribosomal RNA
Source: RNAcentral
GGGGUUUCAUAGGUAGCAAAGCAGCUCCCUCAUCGCUAUCUCUUGAAAGUCAGCCCUUGACACA